Molecule: ribosomal RNA, 371 nt
Filed under: uncultured bacterium
Lineage: Bacteria
Description: bacterial SSU rRNA
Rfam family: Bacterial small subunit ribosomal RNA
Source: RNAcentral
GUAGGGGGCAAGCGUUGUCCGGAUUUAUUGGGCGUAAAGAGCGUGUAGGCGGCCAGACAGGUCCGUUGUGAAAACUCGAGGCUCAACCUCGAGACGCCGAUGGAAACCGUCUGGCUAGAGUCCGGAAGAGGAGAGUGGAAUUCCCGGUGUAGCGGUGAAAUGCGCAGAUAUCGGGAAGAACACCCGUGGCUAAGGCGGCUCCCUAGUACGGUACUGACGCUGAGACGCGAAAGCGUGGGGAGCGAACAGGAUUAGAUACCCUGGUAGUCCACGCCGUAAACGAUGGGUGCUAGGUGUGGGGGGUGUCGACUCCCUCCGUGCCGAAGCUAACGCAUUAAGCACCCCGCCUGGGGAGUACGGCCGCAAGGCUA